Molecule: ribosomal RNA, 478 nt
Filed under: uncultured Pseudomonadota bacterium
Lineage: Bacteria; Pseudomonadati; Pseudomonadota
Description: bacterial SSU rRNA
Rfam family: Bacterial small subunit ribosomal RNA
Source: RNAcentral
UGGGGAAUAUUGGACAAUGGGCGCAAGCCUGAUCCAGCAAUGCCGCGUGAGUGAUGAAGGCCUUCGGGUUGUAAAGCUCUUUCGCACGCGACGAUGAUGACGGUAGCGUGAGAAGAAGCCCCGGCUAACUUCGUGCCAGCAGCCGCGGUAAUACGAAGGGGGCUAGCGUUGUUCGGAAUUACUGGGCGUAAAGGGCGCGUAGGCGGUUUGUCAAGUCAGGCGUGAAAGCCCGGGCUCAACCUGGGAACUGCGCUUGAGACUGGCAGGCUCGAGUUCGGGAGAGGAUGGUGGAAUUCCCAGUGUAGAGGUGAAAUUCGUAGAUACUGGGAAGAACACCGAUGGCGAAGGCAGCCAUCUGGACCGACACUGACGCUGAGGCGCGAAAGCGUGGGGAGCGAAACAGGAUUAGAUACCCUGGUAGUCCACGCCGUAAACGAUGAGUGCUAGACGUCGGGGCCCUCAGGGCUUCGGUGUCGCA